This 1340-nucleotide long non-coding RNA is filed under the name Oryctolagus cuniculus (rabbit). RNAcentral describes it as "lncRNA (ENSOCUG00000038356.1)". Lineage: Eukaryota; Metazoa; Chordata; Mammalia; Lagomorpha; Leporidae. The record is from RNAcentral.
GCCAAGCACUACUAGAUUUUUCUGUGUAUGUCUCAUGUAAUGCUCUAAAAUAUCUCAUAAGUUAGGUACUUCUGUUACUCUCAGUUUACAAAUAAGUGAACCAGCUUAGGAGAAAUUUUGAUGAUUUGGUCAGUUUGACAUAUCCUUAGAAGGGCAGAUUCAAGAUUCAAUUUCAGAUCAUCCUGGUUAAUACAUGAGUCAAUUCUAGAUUGAUUUUUCUGGCAUCUUACUAAUAGGGAUGCUUCAAUGCUUUGUUGAGAUUAGAUCAACAGAAUUUAAAUACUAUUUAUGGGGGCAUGUUGGGAUAAGUCAACUGUAAAAUAAGCAUUCUUGUGGUUUGCUUUAUUAUGAAUUAACAAUAACUUGGGAUAUCAACUCUGCCAAAUUUUAAUAUACAUUCGAUAACUAUUUUAAUAACAGUUAAAGCUUUGUCUUAAAAAAAUAUGUGACAGGGUAAUUGUUAAAAAUGCUAAAUACAGCUAUCCAGGCUAGAAGACUCAUUGCUUAAACCUUGCCUGUGAGCACAUUUAUUUCCUUUAUAGAACACAUGCUGCAAAAAUAAUACAGAGAGUUGCAGGUAUAGUACAAGUUUAUCUAUUUCUACUAGCGAGGGACUUUUAACAUUACCCAAGUGUAGCAUCUCUAUGUUUGUCUCUUUCUGUCUUUAUUUGACAGUGUACCACUCCUCAUUUUCAGAUAGAGCCCCCUUUAAAAGAGACAACAUUUUUGUGGAGAGAAACUUGAUGACCAGACUCUAUGCAACAUGCCCUGGAUUCUGGAGACCACAGCCUGAGGGCCCUCCACCUGCAACUGAGACUUCAUGAGAAGGAAAAGAAAUCCAGCAGCGGUUUCCUAGCCACAGUGAGUACAGCUAAAGAUUGGUGAAGUAACUGUCCAGGAGCACCUACCACAAGGUAAACUCCAUUCAAGCAAUUUUAGAGUAGUCUGAUUCCAAAAGGGUUUUCCUAAUUGUUGCUAGUUUUCUGUUUCCUGUUUAUUCCAGUUGAUGGCAUGUAAGUGAGUCCUUGACUGAAACUGUCAAUGUUAGGUCUUAAGAGGUAAUUUAAUCUUCUAUCUAGUCACCCAUAUCUUGUUUCAAGGUGCUGUGUGCUUGUAUGUCUGAAUGAUGGCCCUUAAACUGCAUCUCUGCACUUUUGUGUCUGUAUAGUAAUGUGGUAAGAGCAAGUUUGUGUGUGUGUGUGGGGGGGGUAUCUGUUUUAUGAUAUAUCAACCUAUGGUCUAUUCAAGUCAAGUCCUUGAGAAGUUUGGAGAAAUGGGGAAGUGAAGAAGCAGAUGAAAAAAAAAAAAGUAAUAAGAAAGAAGUAGGAAGUUAAAUUUCA